This 385-nucleotide ribosomal RNA is filed under the name uncultured bacterium. RNAcentral's name for it is "bacterial SSU rRNA". It matches the Rfam family "Bacterial small subunit ribosomal RNA", at positions 370 to 772 of the family's 1533-position model. The record is from RNAcentral.
AAUGGGCGAAAGCCUGACCCAGCAACGCCGCGUGAAGGAAGAAGGUCUUCGGAUCGUAAACUUCUAUCCCCGGUGAAGAUAAUGACGGUAACCGGGAAGGAAGCCCCGGCUAACUACGUGCCAGCAGCCGCGGUAAUACGUAGGGGGCAAGCGUUGUCCGGAAUGAUUGGGCGUAAAGGGCGCGUAGGCGGCUCGGUAAGUCUGGAGUGAAAUUCCUGCUUUCAAGGUGGGAACUGCUUUGGAUACUGUCGGGCUUGAGUGCAGGAGAGGUAAGUGGAAUUCCCGGUGUAGCGGUGAAAUGCGUAGAGAUCGGGAGGAACACCAGUGGCGAAGGCGACUUACUGGACUGUAACUGACGCUGAGGCGCGAAAGUGUGGGGAGCAAA